This 138-nucleotide small nuclear RNA is filed under the name Dasypus novemcinctus (nine-banded armadillo). Its description in RNAcentral is "U2 spliceosomal RNA (ENSDNOG00000044990.1)". It matches the Rfam family "U2 spliceosomal RNA", at positions 46 to 185 of the family's 192-position model. From Rfam's summary of the family: U2 is a small nuclear RNA (snRNA) component of the spliceosome (involved in pre-mRNA splicing). Complementary binding between U2 snRNA (in an area lying towards the 5' end but 3' to hairpin I) and the branchpoint sequence (BPS) of the intron results the bulging out of an unpaired adenosine, on the BPS, which initiates a nucleophilic attack at the intronic 5' splice site, thus starting the first of two transesterification reactions that mediate splicing. The record is from RNAcentral. Lineage: Eukaryota; Metazoa; Chordata; Mammalia; Cingulata; Dasypodidae.
UCAUCAGUUUAAUAUCUGACAUGCCCUCUAUCCAAGGACAAUAUAUUAAAUGGAUUUUUGGAACAGGGAGAUGGACUAGGAGCUUGCUCUGUCCACUCCACACAUCACCUUGUUAUUGUGGUACUUACAGAAUGGUGC